RNAcentral lists this ribosomal RNA (1415 nucleotides) under groundwater metagenome. Its description in RNAcentral is "bacterial LSU rRNA". It matches the Rfam family "Bacterial large subunit ribosomal RNA", at positions 1117 to 2504 of the family's 2925-position model. The record is from RNAcentral.
CACCCUUUAAAGAGUGCGUAACAGCUCACUGGUCAAGCGACGCUGCGCGGACAAUUCAACGGGGCUCAAGUCCACCCCCGACGCUACGGAUGCUGGCGGGAGACCGUCAGCGUGGUAGGGGAGCAUUCCACAGCAGGGUGAAGGCCGACCGCGAGGACGGCUGGACGAAGUGGAAGAGAGAAUGCCGGCACGAGUAGCGAAAACGCAGGUGAAAAACCUGCGCGCCGAAAGCCCAAGGGUUCCUGGGGAAGGUUAAUCCGCCCAGGGUUAGGCGGUCCCUAAGUGGAGGCCGAGAGGCGUACACGAAGGACAACGGGUUAAUAGUCCCGUUCCGCCGCAGGGGCGUUACGAGCAAUGGGGUGACGGAGAAAGCUAGGCACCGCCGGGUGAUGGAAAUCCCGGUCCAAGUGCGUAGGGAGGGGUGGCAGGCAAAUCCACCGCCCCGCCGCAAGGCAAUCCUGAAACACGAUGGGGAGGUCUUCGGACCAUAAACGGGCCGAGGCUCGGCUUCCAAGAAAACCCUCUAGCCAGUCCCUGAGGCGACCGUACCGGAAACCGACACAGGUGGGCGAGGAGAAGAUCCACAGGCGCUCGGGAGAACUCUCGCGAAGGAACUAGGCAAAAUAACCCCGUAACUUCGGGAGAAGGGGUGCCCCGGUAGGGUGUUACAGCCCGAGGGGGCCGCAGUGAAAAGGGCCAAGCGACUGUUUACUAAAAACACAGGACUCUGCGAACUCCGAAGAGGAGGUAUAGGGUCUGACGCCUGCCCGGUGCCGGAAGGUUAAGGAGAGGGGUUAGGGCCGCAAGGCUCGACGCUCUGAACCGAAGCCCCGGUAAACGGCGGCCGUAACUAUAACGGUCCUAAGGUAGCGAAAUUCCUUGUCGGGUAAGUUCCGACCUGCACGAAUGGCGUAACGACUUGGCCGCUGUCUCCGCGAGAGACCCGGUGAAACUGUAGCGCCAGUGAAGAUGCUGGCUACCCGCGACUAGACGAAAAGACCCCGUGAACCUUUACUGUACCUUGGCCUGGGACUUUGGCGGAGUCUGUGCAGGAUAGGUGGGAGGCUGGGAAGCCGGGCCGCUAGGCUCGGGGGAGCCAACGUUGAGAUACCACCCUGACUGUGCUGGAGUUCUAACCUGACGCCCUGAGCGGGCGUGGGGACAGGGCCAGGAGGGCAGUUUGACUGGGGCGGUCGCCUCCUAAAAUGUAACGGAGGCGCUCGAAGGUGGGCUCAGCACGGUUGGAAAUCGUGCGUCGAGUGUAAGAGCAGAAGCCCGCUUGACUGCGAGACGGACAGGUCGAGCAGGUACGAAAGUAGGAUCUAGUGAUCCGGUGGUUCUGAGUGGAAGGGCCAUCGCUCAACGGAUAAAAGGUACUCCGGGGAUAACAGGCUGAUCUUGCCCAAGAGUUCAUA